UUGAGGGGAGACGGAACCCUGAGCAGCCCAUGUACAUGGAAGAUCUUUAUUGCAGAGAUCUUUAAACCAGGAAACUGAGGCUAAAGAGUUUAGUAUUCUGCCAAGGCCAGCUAAAGUUACAGAGCAUGGUUCCAAAUUCAGAGCUGUUGGAAGCUUAAGCUCAUGUGAUGAACCACGAAUGUGAUUUUACCUCAUUUAAGCCUUGCAGCAAACUCUGCCAAGCUGUCUCUACCAGGCCAGAAUUUGGGGCAGGCAAGAUUUUCAGCAUCCCUAAAAUCACACUAAGAAGAUAAACAUGGAAACAGCUUGGAGCUGCCCUACCCAUAGUGAGGUGGUACUGACUGGAAGACAGCUUAAACGAUUUGGAGAAAACUGGAAUACAUUAAUCUCAGAAAACUCUACCACCUGUAGAAAGAGAGCUAAAAUGGAGACAACCACAGGCAGUCUAAGAUACGCUGAACUACUACAGAAAAUAAUGCAGCAUGAAGGAAUGCUGGAAGGAUCUUCUAAGGGUGUGAGGAUACAGGCGUCAAAGACCCCGUGCUGAGACAGCUCCAUAACAACAUGCAGAUAUUUGGCAAUGAGGAUUCAGAAGAGGACUUGCUGUGGAGAAGGGAGAAAAGAGGUGGGAAGACUCUGUGAAUGAAUAGAGAACACUCUGCAAGCAUCCCAGUUCCUUUGGUUGCCCUGCAGUCUGCAGGUACCAGGAAAAAUCAAAAGCCGCCUGGAAGGGCUUUCUGUCUGUAUGGAGUCAAGGCAGUGUCUUCAAAUCUAUGCUUUCUAAAACAAAGAAAUAACCUUGAUGAAACAAAUUUUCCCCAGAGGAAGGGGAGAGCCCACAGUGAGCUGGUAAAGAAGAUGCCUGGAGCAGGCGGCAUCCUCAAAUGGAAGAGAUGGGGUCUUGCUAUGUUGCCCAAGCUGGUCUUAAAUUCCUGGCAUCAAGUGAUCCUCCUGCCUCAGCCUCCCAAAGUACUGGGAUUACAGAACAAAACAAUCAGCAGGCGGGCUUGUGGCAUUCUAAGAACAGACACUGGCAGGAACAAAGGUUACAGAAGUGAGUGACUCUAAGAAUCAAGCAAGACAUGGAGUGGCAGAAAAUUAAAUUCUGAAUCCCUAAAAGACAUGAUGCAAAGAUGACCUUCUCUCCCAAGGACAUGUCCUCAUCCCGCGCUGACCGUGUGUGAUCAUUUCAGGAAAAGCAAACAAUGGAGAAGCUGCUUGAAUGAUACUUAGACCUGGGACAACUGAAAGGAGUUGCACUUAUACAAUUCGAUGCAGUGGAGUCCCCUGGGAGGAGCCCCAGUCACACGGGAAGAGACAGUCACAGCUGUAAUAAAUGAUGGCUAGCAUGU
This 1352-nucleotide non-coding RNA is filed under the name Pan troglodytes (chimpanzee). The record is from RNAcentral. Lineage: Eukaryota; Metazoa; Chordata; Mammalia; Primates; Hominidae.